Coturnix japonica (Japanese quail) is the source of this 138-nucleotide small nucleolar RNA. The record is from Ensembl. NCBI's taxonomy places the organism in Eukaryota, Metazoa, Chordata, Aves, Galliformes, Phasianidae.
ACCCUCCCCACGCUUACCACAGGUGGCUGCAACUCCAGCCGCCUGCAUAGAACGGGGAGGGAGAGCAGAGCGCAGCCUCGGGAAGCACCCCGGCCGGGGCGGCAGUGCUGCGGCCGGAUUGUGAGCGGGGGGACACGU